RNAcentral lists this ribosomal RNA (253 nucleotides) under uncultured bacterium. Its description in RNAcentral is "partial 16S ribosomal RNA". It matches the Rfam family "Bacterial small subunit ribosomal RNA", at positions 524 to 776 of the family's 1533-position model. The record is from RNAcentral.
UACGUAGGGUGCGAGCGUUAAUCGGAAUUACUGGGCGUAAAGCGUGCGCAGGCGGUUCGUUAUGUCCGAUGUGAAAGCCCCGAGCUUAACUUGGGAAUGGCAUUGGAAACUGGCGGGCUGGAGUGCGGCAGAGGGGGGUGGAAUUCCACGUGUAGCAGUGAAAUGCGUAGAGAUCUGGAAGAACACCAAAGGCGAAGGCAGCGUCCUGGCGAGUCACUGACGCUCAGGUGCGAAAGCUAGGGGAGCGAACGGG